AAUGGUGAGUAGUUGCGGUUCCUUAACAGGAGCUGAGGAAAGUCCAGGCUCGCACAGUGCUGAGAUGCCUGUAGUGUUCGUGCCAUCCGCAAGGGUGGGCAGUUGAUGAAUAGUAUCGACUGACGGCGGUGAAAUCAUGCUAAGUCCCUCGGGAUAUGCUGAGAAUAACCUGAAAGUGCCACAGUGACGGAGCUUUUCUGGAAACGGAAAAGGUGGAACGGGUAAACCCCACGAGCGAGCAACCCAAAUUAGGUAGGGGCAUCAUCCUGCGGGAAAUGAACCUAAUGGAUGAAUCGGCCAUCAGUCGAUAGAUAGAUGACUACUACUUCCAGUACAAGGCUUGCUGCCGUUUGCAGUACGGAAGAACAAAACCUGGCUUACAGCC
RNAcentral lists this RNase P RNA (385 nucleotides) under Neobacillus ginsengisoli. RNAcentral's name for it is "RNase P class B". It matches the Rfam family "Bacterial RNase P class B". Rfam says of the family: Ribonuclease P (RNase P) is a ubiquitous endoribonuclease, found in archaea, bacteria and eukarya as well as chloroplasts and mitochondria. Its best characterised activity is the generation of mature 5'-ends of tRNAs by cleaving the 5'-leader elements of precursor-tRNAs. Cellular RNase Ps are ribonucleoproteins. The record is from RNAcentral. Lineage: Bacteria; Bacillati; Bacillota; Bacilli; Caryophanales; Bacillaceae.